Molecule: transfer RNA, 56 nt
Filed under: Panagrellus redivivus
Lineage: Eukaryota; Metazoa; Nematoda; Chromadorea; Rhabditida; Panagrolaimidae
Description: tRNA-Cys
Source: RNAcentral
AAGAAAUUAGUAUAUUUAGUAUUUUUAAUUGCAAAUUAAAAGGUUUUUAUUUCUUU